RNAcentral lists this ribosomal RNA (429 nucleotides) under Acidobacteriota bacterium. RNAcentral describes it as "Acidobacteria bacterium partial 16S ribosomal RNA". It matches the Rfam family "Bacterial small subunit ribosomal RNA", at positions 355 to 776 of the family's 1533-position model. Lineage: Bacteria; Pseudomonadati; Acidobacteriota. The record is from RNAcentral.
UGGGGAAUUUUGGACAAUGGGGGAAACCCUGAUCCAGCCAUCCCGCGUGUGCGAUGAAGGCCUUCGGGUUGUAAAGCACUUUUGGCAGGAAAGAAACGUCAUGGGUUAAUACCCCGUGAAACUGACGGUACCUGCAGAAUAAGCACCGGCUAACUACGUGCCAGCAGCCGCGGUAAUACGUAGGGUGCAAGCGUUAAUCGGAAUUACUGGGCGUAAAGCGUGCGCAGGCGGUUCGGAAAGAAAGAUGUGAAAUCCCAGAGCUCAACUUUGGAACUGCAUUUUUAACUACCGGGCUAGAGUGUGUCAGAGGGAGGUGGAAUUCCGCGUGUAGCAGUGAAAUGCGUAGAUAUGCGGAGGAACACCGAUGGCGAAGGCAGCCUCCUGGGAUAACACUGACGCGCAUGCACGAAAGCGUGGGGAGCAAACAGG